This 253-nucleotide ribosomal RNA is filed under the name uncultured bacterium. RNAcentral's name for it is "partial 16S ribosomal RNA". It matches the Rfam family "Bacterial small subunit ribosomal RNA", at positions 524 to 776 of the family's 1533-position model. The record is from RNAcentral.
UACGGAGGGGGCUAGCGUUGUUCGGAAUUACUGGGCGUAAAGCGCACGUAGGCGGCUUUGUAAGUUAGAGGUGAAAGCCCGGGGCUCAACUCCGGAAUUACCUUUAAGACUGCAUCGCUAGAAUUGUGGAGAGGUAAGUGGAAUUCCGAGUGUAGAGGUGAAAUUCGUAGAUAUUCAGAAGAACACCAGUGGCGAAGGCGACUUACUGGACACAUAUUGACGCUGAGGUGCGAAAGCGUGGGGAGCAAACAGG